AUGCAACACCUCCUCAUGAGAUGUCCAUUCUCGCGUGGCAUCUGGCACGACAUUCUCUCUGCCUGCAGGGUGACGACAGCGGCGCUGAUUGGCGACGAGGACUUCCUGGAGUGGUGGGCGUCCUCUAUGGCGUCGGCCCCUAACAGUCUACGGAAAGGCCUCGCUUCCCUUGUCAUCCUCGUCACCUGAAGCAUUUGGAAGCACCGCAACGCGUGUACCUUCGACAACGAGCACCCAUCUACUUUGCGGCUCGCCCAACUCAUCCGUGACGAAGCUCACACAUGGGCCUAG
This 291-nucleotide ribosomal RNA is filed under the name Triticum aestivum (bread wheat). RNAcentral's name for it is "partial small subunit ribosomal RNA". Lineage: Eukaryota; Viridiplantae; Streptophyta; Magnoliopsida; Poales; Poaceae. The record is from RNAcentral.